RNAcentral lists this ribosomal RNA (440 nucleotides) under uncultured bacterium. Its description in RNAcentral is "partial 16S ribosomal RNA". It matches the Rfam family "Bacterial small subunit ribosomal RNA", at positions 338 to 795 of the family's 1533-position model. The record is from RNAcentral.
CCUACGGGAGGCAGCAGUGGGGAAUAUUGCACAAUGGGGGAAACCCUGAUGCAGCGACGCCGCGUGAGUGAAGAAGUAAUUCGUUACGUAAAGCUCUAUCAGCAGGGAAGAAAAUGACGGUACCUGAGUAAGAAGCCCCGUCUAACUACGUGCCAGCAGCCGCGGUAAUACGGAGGGGGCAAACGUUAUCCGGAUUUACUGGGUGUAAAGGGAGCGUAGACGGUGGGCCAAGUCUGGAGUGAAAUGCCGCAGCUUAACUGCGGAACUGCUUUGGAAACUGGCGAACUAGAGUGCGGGAGGGGUAUGCGGAAUUCCUGGUGUAGCGGUGAAAUGCAUAGAUAUUAGGAGGAACUCCGGUGGCGAAGGCGGCUUACUGGAGCGUAACUGACGUUGAUGCACGAAAGCGUGGGGAGCGAACAGGAUUAGAUACCCUUGUAGUC